RNAcentral lists this non-coding RNA (23 nucleotides) under Arabidopsis thaliana (thale cress). The record is from RNAcentral. Lineage: Eukaryota; Viridiplantae; Streptophyta; Magnoliopsida; Brassicales; Brassicaceae.
UCCACGUCAUUGGAUUUCUGCCA